GUUUCAAAGAUUAAGCCAUGCAUGUCUAAGUAUAAGCAAUUAUACCGUGAAACUGCGAAUGGCUCAUUAAAUCAGUUAUCGUUUAUUUGAUAAUACCUUACUACUUGGAUAACCGUGGUAAUUCUAGAGCUAAUACAUGCUGAAAAUCCCGACUUCGGAAGGGAUGUGUUUAUUAGAUAAAAAACCAAUGCCCUUCGGGGCUCUUUGGUGAUUCAUGAUAACUUUACGGAUCGCAUAGCCUUGCGCUGGCGACGGUUCAUUCAAAUUUCUGCCCUAUCAACUUUCGAUGGUAAGGUAUUGGCUUACCAUGGUUUCAACGGGUAACGGGGAAUUAGGGUUCGAUUCCGGAGAGGGAGCCUGAGAAACGGCUACCACAUCCAAGGAAGGCAGCAGGCGCGCAAAUUACCCAAUCCCGACACGGGGAGGUAGUGACAAUAAAUACUGAUACAGGGCUCUUUUGGGUCUUGUAAUUGGAAUGAGUACAAUUUAAACCUCUAACGAGANCAAUUNGAGGNNNNNNNNNNNNNNNNNNNNNNNNNNNNNNNCUCCAUANGCGUAUAUUAAGUUGUUGCAGUUAAAAAGCUCGUAGNUGAAACUUGGGCCUGGCUGGCGGGUCCGCCUCACCGCGUGCACNUCNUCCGGCCGGGCCUUCCUUCUGAAGAACCUCAUGCCCUUCACUGGGCGUGUUGGGGAAUCAGGACUUUUACUUUGAAAAAAUUAGAGUGUUCAAAGCAGGCCUUUGCUCGAAUACGUUAGCAUGGAAUAAUAAAAUAGGGCGUGCGUUUCUAUUUUGUUGGUUUCUAGAGACGCCGCAAUGAUUAACAGGAACAGUCGGGGGCAUCAGUAUUCAGUUGUCAGAGGUGAAAUUCUUGGAUUUACUGAAGACUAACUACUGCGAAAGCAUUUGCCAAGGAUGUUUUCAUUAAUCAGUGAACGAAAGUUAGGGGAUCGAAGACGAUCAGAUACCGUCGUAGUCUUAACCGUAAACUAUGCCGACUAGGGAUCGGGCGAUGUUCUUUUUCUGACUCGCUCGGCACCUUACGAGAAAUCAAAGUUUUUGGGUUCUGGGGGGAUUAUGGUCNCAAGGCUGAAACUUAAAGAAAUUGACGGAAGGUCACCACCAGGCGUGGAGCCUGCGGCUUAAUUUGACUCAACACGGGGAAACUCACCAGGUCCAGAUGAAAUAAGGAUUGACAGAUUGAGAGCUCUUUCUUGAUUUUUCAGGUGGUGGUGCAUGGCCGUUCUUAGUUCGUGGGGUGACUUGUCUGCUUAAUUGCGAUAACGAGCGAGACCUUACUCUGCUAAAUAGCCAGGCUAGCUUUGGCUGGUCGCCGGCUUCUUAGAGAGACUAUCAACUCAGUUGAUGGAAGUUUGAGGCAAUACCAGGUCUGUGAUGCCCUUAA
RNAcentral lists this ribosomal RNA (1403 nucleotides) under Paradendryphiella arenariae. Its description in RNAcentral is "partial 18S small subunit ribosomal RNA". It matches the Rfam family "Eukaryotic small subunit ribosomal RNA", at positions 34 to 1476 of the family's 1831-position model. Lineage: Eukaryota; Fungi; Ascomycota; Dothideomycetes; Pleosporales; Pleosporaceae. The record is from RNAcentral.